Scatophagus argus is the source of this 1347-nucleotide long non-coding RNA. RefSeq lists it as uncharacterized. NCBI's taxonomy places the organism in Eukaryota, Metazoa, Chordata, Actinopteri, Scatophagidae. The transcript has 3 exons. The record is from RefSeq and is a predicted model, not a curated record.
CAGACAAGUCUAGAAGAAAUGGGACAACAGAUAAUCCAUGAAUAUGAGAAGAGUGAAUGAAACCUAGUGUUGAUAGAGAAGCUGAUGCAUACUACUUUUGCUCUUCGUCGCAUGGAGCUCAUCCAGGAAAACCCAGAGUUGGGGGGGCUUCCUUGAGAAAUGGCCAGCACUUCAGCUCGAAUCACAAGUAAAGCAGACUUUUUUUGAAUUCCCCUUUCACACAUUUUUCCUUCAUUUUCCUUCAUUUGUUGUUAUUCAUUUACAUGUGUGUAUAAGGUUUGUGCUGAGUUUCAUCGCAUCACAAAUGUCAACCUAAGGAACCAGUUUUAUGCUGAACUUGACCGACACACACCUCGACUGAUGGCCCUGUACAGACAGAAAGCAACACGCACUGGCAAGAUAUCAGAGACACUUUGUAACAUCCUACAGACAUAUGAUCUCCAGCAAGUUCACAAUGUCAGCUUGAAACGUACUCUUCCCUUCAUGUCCUCCCAGUGUAUCUGCGUGAGAAGGAUCCACAGUUCUUCAAGACUUGGAAUAUGGUGGAGUCGCAUGAGCCAGACAUUGCUGAUACUCAUGUCGUUCUUGUCACUGUGGUCACUGAGAACACUACAGGUCCAGUCGAAUUCAGCCCUGCAAGCGUUGCUAUUGUGUUGGAAGGUGACCUUGUGAUGCGCGAUAUUCCCAGGUUUGCUGAUGCAUUUGCAUUGCAUUUGGACUAUCAGAGAAGACUGAUUCACACGGUUACCUUCAUCCAAAAAAUACUGAUGGGGCUCGAUGAUGGUAAACCACUGAAACCUUGCCUGCACACUCUCAAAAAUGACCUGUUACUGAGAGCAUAGGCCAUGUCAGAAGGUGUUUGUGUGUUCUUGUAUGUACAUAUUUUUCACUGUACAUAUAGCAUUGUUCUGGUUUUCAGUAUCAUAUGUUGAUACUAUCUUGUUGGACGCUAUUUAAAACAUUUAAAAAAAUGUUUACGUUUCGUUGCAUAUGUCUGCACUAAAAAAUCUACCUCUGUUGGUGUUGGUGUGCUAAUACAACUGCACCCAGUUAUACUAUAAUACUGUGAGAUGUGCCUUGUGAAAUAGGUUAGGCAUAUUUAAUUUGUUGCUUUAUGUUUACAAAUGGCAGAGCUUGAUCUUUUUUUUUUUUUCUUUUAGCUUUAUUUUUUUAUUGAUUUACUUUUACUUUUUUGGUUUCAUUUCCAGUGUAGCAACCAUGGCUGCAAAAUUAUAUUAUUUCCUGUUUCAGAAAAUCAGACAACAAGUUUUAAACGUUUAAGCACUUUAACGGAGAGUUUCCAGUUCUCCUUUUUUACUGUACAUUUUAUAUUUGAUGUAUGUAUAG